RNAcentral lists this ribosomal RNA (379 nucleotides) under uncultured bacterium. RNAcentral describes it as "bacterial SSU rRNA". It matches the Rfam family "Bacterial small subunit ribosomal RNA", at positions 28 to 407 of the family's 1533-position model. The record is from RNAcentral.
GACGAACGCUGGCGGCGUGCUUAACACAUGCAAGUCGAGCGGUAAGGCCCUUUCGGGGGUACGACGAGCGGCGAACGGGUGAGUAACACGUGGGUGACCUGCCCUUAGCUCUGGGAUAAGCCUGGGAAACUGGGUCGUAAUACCGGAUAUGACUCCAUAACGCAUGUUGUGGGGUGGAAAGCCUUGUGCGGCUAGGGAUGGGCCCGCGGCCUAUCAGCUUGUUGGUGGGGUGAUGGCCACCAAGGCGACGACGGUAGCCGGCCUGAGAGGGCGACCGGCCACACUGGGACUGAGACACGGCCCAGACUCCUACGGGAGGCAGCAGUGGGGAAUCUUGCGCAAUGGGCGGAAANCCUGACGCAGCGACGCCGCGUGGGGA